GGGUCAGUAGGUUGGUCGUGCCACCGGUACGUACUGGUCUCACUGAUUCCUCCUUCCUGAAGAACCGUAAUGCCAUUAAUUUGGUGUUGCGGGGAAACAGGACUGUUACUUUGAAAAAAUUAGAGUGUUUAAAGCAAGCUAACGCUUGAAUACAUUAGCAUGGAAUAAUGCAAUAGGACGAUCGAUCCUAUUUUGUUGGUUUCUAGGAUUGACGUA
This 216-nucleotide ribosomal RNA is filed under the name Glomeromycotina sp. RNAcentral describes it as "partial small subunit ribosomal RNA". The stretch from base 40 to 216 matches the Rfam family "Eukaryotic small subunit ribosomal RNA", at positions 686 to 864 of the family's 1831-position model. The record is from RNAcentral. Lineage: Eukaryota; Fungi; Glomeromycota.